UUGUUCAGUCCUGUUCAUAGCAAUUUCGGGCUAUUAAAGUUGUUAUGAAUUCUAAGAUUUUUGUCGCUGUCGUCAUUGGUCAUCCCACCAAGACCCAAUCAUGAACAUGAAUUCGCUUUCGUCAUUGGUCAUUGGUCAUCCCACCAACACCCAAUCAUGAUGCCUGCAUAGUCCGCGAUGUAGUGAGGUCCGUCUAUUUAUUGUAGCCGGACCAUCUCAAUAAAAUUAUUGGUGU
Molecule: long non-coding RNA, 235 nt
Filed under: Capsicum annuum
Lineage: Eukaryota; Viridiplantae; Streptophyta; Magnoliopsida; Solanales; Solanaceae
Description: long non-coding RNA (CANN_LNC005799)
Source: RNAcentral